UCGUAUACGUGAGCAUCGAAAGCCAUCAGCAGCUAUGGAGACACUGCCACCACGUUCUUCCAUGUAUGGGGAAAGGCCAGUUCUUGCUCAAGCUGUGGAGCAACACCAAAAGAGUGUGCCUUCGACAGACAUGGAAAAUUCUGGAAGUAACAAGAAUCCUAUAAGGUUGCAUCCUAUAAGGCUCAGCACCGUCUACACGCAAGGGGAGCUAAGUAUUUUCCCACCAUCUUGCUUUACUGGUGUUACAGAAAAAAGUGGAAAUCAAGGUUGAUACUUUUUGUAAUGACGUCACAAGUGACACAUUCCCAGAUGAGAAAUGUCUGCAGUCUCAAGUGGUUUAUGAAACAUUUUCCUCUUGCAAACAACUUAUGUAGUACAAAUGAGGGAAGAGCCGGUGGAUGAGAGCUGCCAAUAUUUUAAACAGAGACUGCUCUUUUUGGCACAAUCUACAUCCUUGCCAUGGCACAUAAAAAUAGGUCAACAAAUGCUGUUUUCAGGAAAUUUUUUCUUUUUGUUUUUUGUAUUGUUGGCCAGCAGGUCGGUGGAUAGGACAGAUCUUUUCAAACUUUAAUGACAUAGGUGCUUUGUUAGAGUGUGCUGGUGGGUUAUGUCAAGGAACGUUUCUUUACCACAGAGCCGUUACAGAGAUACGAAGGUUAAAAUGAAAAGUAACAACCACAGGAUAAGACCAAGUGAACAGGUGGACAUAGACGAACAUUUCAAAUGAGGAGGGCAGGGGUUACUCUGAGAAGUGUCUAGAGCAUGGACACAUUCUGUUGCCCCUCUCCUGUGUGCUUGUGAUGCUACUUUGGAUCUGCUGGCCAGCCUGCCAGCACUUUAUACAUCAACAAUAACCCAUGUCACAAUAAAAGGGAAAUACAUGGCCCUGCACCUGAAACUGUGAAGUUGAACAUGGUGGACAAUGCAGUGACAAGGACAAGAAACACACACACCAUUCAACUAGCAACUGAUUUAUUUGGAGGCAGAAAUCUAGUCCAAAUAAAUCAGUUGCUAGUUCAACAUUAUCCGUGUUUCUAGUCCUUGUUUCUGUGUGUUCUCCAUCAUGUUCAGUCGUACCUGACAUGCUCUACACAUUCUUGCACUGUCAAGUUCUUAGAAUAAAGCAAUUUCUCAGUCA
Molecule: long non-coding RNA, 1138 nt
Organism: Ornithodoros turicata
Lineage: Eukaryota; Metazoa; Arthropoda; Arachnida; Ixodida; Argasidae
Exons: 3
Source: RefSeq, a predicted model, not a curated record